UGCCAGCAGCCGCGGUAAGACGGAGGGUGCAAGUGUUAUCCGGAUUUACUGGGUUUAAAGGGUGUUAAGGCGGUCGUAUAAGUCGAUAGUGAAAGCUAGCAGCUCAACUGUUAAGGUGCUGUCGAUACUGUAUGACUUGAGUCUAGUGGAAGUAAGUGGAAUUCUGCAUGUAGCGGUAAAAUGCUUAGAUAUGCAGAGGAACACCAAUAACGAAGGUAGCUUACUAUGCUACGACUGACGCUGACACACGAAAGCGUGGGGAGCAAACAGGAUUAGAUA
This 279-nucleotide ribosomal RNA is filed under the name uncultured bacterium. Its description in RNAcentral is "partial 16S ribosomal RNA". It matches the Rfam family "Bacterial small subunit ribosomal RNA", at positions 506 to 784 of the family's 1533-position model. The record is from RNAcentral.